Thamnophis elegans (Western terrestrial garter snake) is the source of this 646-nucleotide non-coding RNA. Lineage: Eukaryota; Metazoa; Chordata; Lepidosauria; Squamata; Natricidae. The record is from the annotation of a RefSeq genome assembly.
AUGGUUCAGAGCCCUCUUGGAAGUGUUCCUCAUAUAAGUAAGGCCAGGUUUUUGUAUAGCUUCGUGUCACUGUGGUGGGUGUUCGGAGGAGGAACGCAACUCACCGUCACAGGCCAGCCCACCGUAUCUCCUACGGUGCAAGUCUUUGGUUCUUCUGAGCAAGAGAUCAAAAGCCAGAACAAAGCCACCGUGGUGUGUCUCCUAAACGACUUUUACCCGCCUGGCUUCAACCUGAAAUGGAAGGUUGAUGGUACCGAGACCGAAUCUGGAGUGGAGACAACCAAAGCCACCAAGCAGGGAGACAAAUACCUUGCCAGCAGUUACCUGACCAGGAGUGCUUCUGACUAUGGAGGUCAUACUUACGUAUGUGAAGUGACACAUGAUGGGAAGACCUUUACGAAGACUUUUUCAGGAUCUGGAAGUUGUUAACUCCAACCUUUAUCCUGUCCGGCCAUUCAGGCGGGAGAAAAAGAGUACCUUCUCCUGGAAUCUCAUUCCUUCUUUCCUAAAUUGAGCUUUAUCACUAAUGUCUCUUUCUAUUCCAAGUAGUUACAUCCUUGUAUUCCCCCCAUACUUUUGCCCUUCCAAUGGAUUCCCCCCUCCCCCACUUUGAUCUGUUAGAUUCUACUGUCAGCACAUUAAUAAA